ACUGAAUAGAUACCCAGGUAGUCCUGGCCCUAAACGAUGAAUGCUUGGUGUGGCGGGUAUCGAUCCCUGCCGUGCCGAAAGCUAACGCAUUAAGCAUUCCGCCUGGGGAGUACGGUCGCAAGGCUGAAACUCAGAGGAAUUGACGGGGGCCCGCACAAGCGGUGGAGCAUGUGGUUCAAUUCGACGCAACGCGAAGAACCUUACCCAGGCUUGAACUGCAGGUGACAACCUACGAAAGUAGGCUUCCGCAAGGACACCUGUAGAGGUGCUGCAUGGCUGUCGUCAGCUCGUGUCGUGAGAUGUUGGGUCAAGUCCCGCAACGAGCGCAACCCUUGUCUUCUGUUGCCAUCGGGUUAUGCCGGGCACUCUGAAGAGACUGCCGGUGACAAACCGGAGGAAGGUGGGGAUGACGUCAAGUCAGCAUGGCCUUUAUGUCUGGGGCCACACACGUGCUACAAUGGCCGGUACAAACCGUCGCGAUCUCGUGAGAGGGAGCUAAUCGGAGAAAGCCGGUCUCA
Molecule: ribosomal RNA, 518 nt
Filed under: uncultured bacterium
Lineage: Bacteria
Description: bacterial SSU rRNA
Rfam family: Bacterial small subunit ribosomal RNA
Source: RNAcentral